ACAUCGAAGUGAAUUAUACAGUAUGUUAGACGGUAAUUACCAGCGUGAAAACUCUGUGUGGACGAUGCAAGAAAUCAAAUACUAUGUUGAUUGAAACACUGAGUGGAACAAAAACUCUAUCUGAAUUGACAUGCAGGCUACAGGAUUAUCCAGACGUGUCCCAGCUUCAUUUAGAUGCUGUCACAACACGAGAAUGAACCGGAGAUUUCAUAGCCCUACCUACAGGAGUCUCCCCCAAACUGGCAAUGUCUGCGCCAGACGCCAGCUCCCAAGGUGCAGGGGCGCCUGCAGGGGGCGCCCAAGGACCGUGGCAGUGUCCCCAGGCAGACCCCCGCCUGAGGCCACCUGGAUCUGGCACUACACGCCUCACACAAAUUGUGAUAAACGGUGGACUCCUUGCGGGAAUAGCCCCUCCUUCUUUCACCAGGUGGCGCUGUGACUCCAGACGGACGGUUUCCUUUCUCUUUGCCGCCCCUCAGGACCUGUCCGGGCUCUUGUCUACACUGCGAAGCCAGAGGGCACCACAUCAGGGAAACCUCUCUCUCUUUGGACCAAAGCAUCACCAUCUUUUGCGAGUCUGAAUUCUUACCAUAAUGUUUAAAGGCAGAGCAUUGCCCAGAGCCCUCGAUGUAUGCAUUGAUUCUAGGCCUCUUAAAAUAGGUCGUUAACUCACCUGUUUAUUUCAAGGUACAUGCUUACAGCAAUUGUGAUAUUGAGAAUGAGUCAGAACGGUUGCAAGGAGCACUCGAAUCAUAUCUUUGGAUCAAAAUGCACAUUUCUUAGUGUGACUCACUCAACAAGGAUUUACUCAGAACCUCGGAUGCACCUGCAUCAAGCCAGGCCGCCUCUCACACAGAUGCUGCUCGGAAAAGGACCGAAGAAGUGGGUGUCUUAUGUCCAGGGUGUCCCCAAAAACUGCAGACACAGUUGAACAGCGGAUAGCCCAGUUUUGAAAAUGAAAUGUAUUUGAAUAAACACUGCCUUUAUUACUC
Long non-coding RNA from Myotis lucifugus (little brown bat), 992 nucleotides. RefSeq lists it as uncharacterized. Lineage: Eukaryota; Metazoa; Chordata; Mammalia; Chiroptera; Vespertilionidae. The transcript is spliced from 2 exons. The record is from RefSeq and is a predicted model, not a curated record.